This 67-nucleotide transfer RNA is filed under the name Eumecichthys fiski. RNAcentral's name for it is "tRNA-Tyr". It matches the Rfam family "tRNA". From Rfam's summary of the family: Transfer RNA (tRNA) molecules are approximately 80 nucleotides in length. Their secondary structure includes four short double-helical elements and three loops (D, anti-codon, and T loops). Further hydrogen bonds mediate the characteristic L-shaped molecular structure. tRNAs have two regions of fundamental functional importance: the anti-codon, which is responsible for specific mRNA codon recognition, and the 3' end, to which the tRNAs corresponding amino acid is attached (by aminoacyl-tRNA synthetases). tRNAs cope with the degeneracy of the genetic code in two manners: having more than one tRNA (with a specific anti-codon) for a particular amino acid; and 'wobble' base-pairing, i.e. permitting non-standard base-pairing at the 3rd anti-codon position. Lineage: Eukaryota; Metazoa; Chordata; Actinopteri; Lampriformes; Lophotidae. The record is from RNAcentral.
GGUAGGGCGGCCGAGGAGGUGGUGGAUUGUAACCCCAUAGACAGAGGUUUAAGCCCUCUCCCUACUA